Molecule: ribosomal RNA, 504 nt
Filed under: uncultured bacterium
Lineage: Bacteria
Description: partial 16S ribosomal RNA
Rfam family: Bacterial small subunit ribosomal RNA
Source: RNAcentral
GAUGAACGCUAGCGACAGGCCUAACACAUGCAAGUCGAGGGGCAGCACAUGAGUAGCAAUACGAUGGUGGCGACCGGCGCACGGGUGAGUAUCGCGUAUGCAACCUACCUUCCACAGGGGGAUAGCCUUCCGAAAGGGAGAUUAAUACCGCAUAAAACAGGGGCCCCGCAUGGGGAUAUUUGUUAAAGAUUUAUCGGUGGGAGAUGGGCAUGCGUUCCAUUAGCUAGUUGGCGGGGUAAUGGCCCACCAAGGCAUCGAUGGAUAGGGGAACUGAGAGGUUUAUCCCCCACACUGGAACUGAGACACGGUCCAGACUCCUACGGGAGGCAGCAGUGAGGAAUAUUGGUCAAUGGGCGGGAGCCUGAACCAGCCAAGUCGCGUGAAGGAAGACGGUUCUAUGGAUUGUAAACUUCUUUUGCACUGGGGUAAAACGGGGGACGUGUCCCCCCUUGCAAGUACAGUGCGAAUAAGCAUCGGCUAACUCCGUGCCAGCCGCCGCCGUAA